This 3369-nucleotide long non-coding RNA is filed under the name Nicotiana tabacum (common tobacco). RNAcentral's name for it is "long non-coding RNA (NTAB_LNC013330)". The record is from RNAcentral. Lineage: Eukaryota; Viridiplantae; Streptophyta; Magnoliopsida; Solanales; Solanaceae.
UAAAAACAUGGCUAUAAAUUUAUACAACUAUAUCACCAACUAGCACCACUAAAUUCGAAUUGUUUGAAUCACUAUAAAUUGGUUAUUUGACAAGUCCUUGUUAUGGGCCAAAAACGAGAUGGGCAGCUUUUAUUUUCCCAUUAAAUGUAAUGAAUUGAAUUACCAGAUGGCAAUAGAAAUCCCCCUUUAUUGCUGUCCAUAUAAGCUUAUGAUCAGCCAUUUUUGCUACAUCCCCAUCUGAAUUUCUGUAAUGACAGAUUUGAAAAGCAUCAAACUAGCUUGUUAUCAUAUGACAACGUUUAUCAUAUUUGAUGUGUGAAAAAUGGAAAGUGAUAUGAAAAUUGAGGAUUUAAAUUUUAUGAAUUCAAUUUUUAAGUUUUUUAACAUUGAACCCGUUAUAAUUUUAAGUUAUAAGUUCAUAUCUACUAUUUUUAUAAUUUUCGUGAAUUUUUACACAUGAAUUUAUAUUAUGCUUUUAAAAUUAUGGUUCGAUUGAACCAGUUAGUAAAAUACUACAUUUGCCCUUGUCCAGAGGCGAAUCCAGAAUUUAAACUAUAUGGGUUCAAUAUUUUAGGUUCCUAACAUUGAACUUACCAUAUUUUAAAAGUUAUGGGUUCAUAUCUAUUAUUUAUUGCAAUUUUAGUGAACACGCAAAUAUUUAUGUUGCCUCGAAAGUUACAGGUUCAAUUAAACUCACAGGUACAAUGCUACAUUCGCCCCUGCCCUUGUCCGCAAGAUAAGUAUAAGGUCUGCCUAUAUACUAUCCUCCCAAUGUGAGGAUAUACUGAGUGCAUUAUUGUUGAUAAUUACCAGUUUAAGGAUCUCAUUUCCUUUUGAGAUUUAUUAUUUAAAAAAAACACCACCUUUUGUUGUUCCAUUUACAGCUUGUUUGGAUGGUUGUUACUCAUUUUAUCGUAUUGUAUUGUUAUCCCAAAAUAAUAUUUGGUUUGAUUGUUUUGUUAAAAUUAAUUGUAACGACCCGACCGAUCGUUUUGAGCAUUUUCACUUCGCUCAGUGGUUUGAGCACAUGAGUAGCUUCGUAUGAUGUAUUAUGACUUAUGUGAAUCGUCGGUUUUGGUUUGAGGUUAUUCGGAAUUGAUUUAGAAGAAUGAUUCUCAACUAGGAAGCUUUAAAUUAGAAGAGCUGACCAAGUUUGACUUUUUAGUAUUUGACCUCAGAUUGGAUUUUUUAUGGUUCCGUUAGCUCCUUUGGAUGAUUUUGGACUUAGGAACGUAUCCGGAUUGUGAUUUAGAGGUCUGUAGUUGAAUUUGGCUUGAAAUGACGAAAAGUUAAAUUUUUGGAAGUUUGAUCGGUAGUGAACUUUUUGAUAUCGGAUUCGGAUUGUUGUUCCGGGAAUUGAAAUAAAUUUGUUAUGUCAUUUGGGACUUGUGUGCAAAAUUUGGGUUCAUUCCGGGUUGGUUAGCUAUGUUUCGGCACGAGUUAUGGAUGUUGAAAAGUUUAAAGUUCAUCAAGUUCGAUUUGAGGCGCGAUUCAUUAUUUUGUUGUUGCCAUAUGUGAUUUGGGGCCGCGAGUAGGUCCGUGUUAUGUGAUGGGACUUGUUGGUAUACUUGAACGGGAUCCUGAGGGGCUCGAGCAUGUUUCGAAUUGAUUUCGGAUCAUUUUUCUCUAUGUUUUCAUUACUGGUAGCUGUUGUUUGCGCGUGUUUCAAACCGUCUUCGCGAUCGCGAAGAUUGGCACGCAAUCACGUAGUAUAUCAGAGGAUUUGGCCUUUUCCUUCGUUGCGUUCGUGCCAGUGGCAUCGAGUUCGCGAGCCUUUGUGAGGUUUGGGCAUUGUCACACCCCUUUUUACUCCUCCAAAGGAUAAUGAACGUUAUGGAUUGUAGGUUAAAAAGUUUUUCCAAUUAAAGUGACAAACUUGAGUAGGAAUUAUUUUAUUUACAUAGUCGCCACUUGGAAUUGAUUUUUAGGUGUUCCAAGUUACCUUUUAUUUGAAUCCCUAGUCAAAGGAAGAUUUGACUCUAUUUUUUAUCGGUCUCCGAAAAUAAAGUUCGGGUAAGAAAUUCUGUUGACCGGGGAGAAGGUGUAAGGCAUUCCCCGAGUCCCGGGGUUCUAGCACGGUCACUUUAUUGACUAUAUUUGGCUUAAAUUAAUUUUGGAUAAAACUGCAAUUUAUUUGAUUUUUAUGCUUUUCAUAUGUCUGCUUUUAUUUAUUAAAAAAAAUAAAGAAACGAUUUGAAUAAUAUUGAAUUGACCUAACCGUAGCACGCUAGCGAAUGCAUGAUCUAAACAAAAUUUACUAAUUUUGUAAUAAUCACCUUACGCAAGUGAAUCCGCAGUUGUGACAAAAGAUUAUUAGCACGUUAUUACUCUUGGAAAAAUAUCUAUAUUUUAUAUUGCUUUAUUAUGGACAAUAGGCCAACCAAAAUAAGUUCAUUUGGCCAAAGCCUGUUUCUCGUAACCCCGUUUAAGAACUAACGUGAGAGAUAGGCUAAACUAUAAGCAAAUAAUUAACUAAAGAUAUAAUAUUAAAUACUAAUAGAAUAUACUAGGAUAAAAAUUAUUUAAAAUUCCUAUGGCCCACUAAUGUUACAAUUAGCCUAAACCCACAAUCUUUUACUUUCUGUCAAGCAAACACAUGGCCCAUUAUUCAGUCAGCUAUUCCCUUCCCCAAUAUUCUUAACAGAAUUAAUUCACAAAGAGAUCCUAUACUCAUGACAUUAACAGAAGAAAAGUAAUGGACAAACAUCCAUGAAUGAUAAAUAAAUUAAUAGAACGACCAAGGAACUUCAAUAAAAGUGGUAAGUAUGAACCUUUACAUUCAGCGAAUAAGCCUCUUCAAUAGAUCCAAACAUGAAGCUCCAACAUCAUCAAAGAUAUAUGAAAACCCGAAGCUACAACCCGGAAAAAGAACUCGAACAGGACCUGCGACACGAGACUGCAUCGGAACCUCGAAACUCAGUAGUAGAGAAACACAACAAAAAGAUGAGCGAUUUGUGAUGUUGAUUGGGGAUUAUUUCGCUGAAACUUUUGGGGCUGAUUUAUGUUGGUAUUUUGAGGAGGCUUCAAGGUGCCUAAAGGUGUUUGAGAUGGUGGGGAAGAUGGCUAAUUUUUAGGCAUUUUGCAGCUGAUUUUUGGCUGGAUUUAGGGGGGCCGUUUUGAGGUGGAAAAGAGAUGAUAUCUGUGAAGAAGAACUUGUUCCGUCGUGUUAAGCUAUCUCCUCUUAUGAAGUUUUUAGAGGUGCUUUUUAUGGUAGAAAAAUGGAUGUUUUCAAUGAUCAAAACAAAAAGAAAAGAUGGGAUCCCCUUUUUUUUUAGUCCUAUUUGUGAGGGCUUGUUCUCCUCCUUUUUUCAAGUGGAGACAUCUCCUUUUCUUAACUCAUUUACUUUUCUAAUCUCCAUCCCCUCUUUC